GUGGUUUGAUCCUUCACACUCUACAUACCAGUGUCGUAGCAGCAGACUGGUCUCUCCCUCUUCUGUCAUUGCAGGCUGCAAGGUCAAAGUUCAGCUGACCAAACUGCUGAUGCUGGUGAGCUUCCUAGACAUCUUCUGUACCAUCUUCAGUCACCUGAGCCAGAACUGAGUGCAUUGAGUGCUUGAACUCAUUACUGCAGACGACCAUGGACUUGAUGGGCUGACUCGCCACCAGACUGGAACUAAAGUGGACUUCAGGAGUUCUUGAACGUUGUGGGUCAGACAUUCAUGAGUGUGGAGCGCCACCUACUGCACACUAGUGAGACCAAGGUGGAGUCAGUUGGAAAAGAAGGCCUCGUCCCAUCAAGCUCCACCUGCUCUCUGACCUUCUCCCACAGUAAA
Synchiropus splendidus (mandarinfish) is the source of this 402-nucleotide long non-coding RNA. RefSeq lists it as uncharacterized. Lineage: Eukaryota; Metazoa; Chordata; Actinopteri; Syngnathiformes; Callionymidae. The transcript is spliced from 3 exons. The record is from RefSeq and is a predicted model, not a curated record.